UUAUGGGGGUUGUGCUAUGAUAUUUUCUCUCUGAUUUCUCCUACCACGAAUCUUCAUUUCUGCUCUUCCUGAUUCGGCAGUUGUGUUCGUGGUUAGUGCUUGAUUCCGUGAUUUAAUCUAGGCUAUAGUGGUCACAAUUCACCCUUUCUGAUCCAACUGCCCUCGCUAUCUGCAGCUCGUGUUUGCCAUUCACCCUCCCCCUGCCCCAUCUGCCCUUGCUAUCUGUCGCUCGCACCCAGAUAAAUUUUUUUGAGUUCAUCACUAUGGCCUGCCAAGGUUCUUCAUCCAUAAAGAGUGACAAGUGUCCAUUUCAUGAUUAUUGUGAUGAUGAAGUUAUUGGUGACUGUAAUAUUGGCGAUUGUGAGCUUGAUGAAGCCCUCUUUGAGUUCUUUAAGAAAAAGAAAAUUCAGGAACUAAAGAGUAGCCUUAGUUUAUCUGAGUUGAAUGAUAUUAGGAAAGGGAAGGGUGAUCUGGGUACUCAUAAGCAUGAAGUGAACCAUGGUUUCAAUCGUGUGUCUGCAAAGUAUUUCAGCGAAGUCAUCAAUGCAUUGAGUGUUAAGCAGAGAAAGGUCAUAUCUGACUACGGUUUUGGUAGCUUACUUAUGUAUGACAAAUGUGUUGUUCCAGCAAGAUUUAUCAAGUGGCUAGCCUAACAUGUGGAUGUUUGCACAUCCGAGAUAACUGUCAAUGGUAAAUUCAUACCUUUUAACAAGAUGUCGGUCCACAAAGUGCUGGGGAUCCCUAUUGGUGGUGAUUCAUUGAGUGUUGAUCGUGAAGUUGGCAAGACAUUUAUUUUAUCAAGGUUCAAUCUGUCCACUCUACCGCCUAUCAGAUUUUUUGGUGACAAGAUAAAGAACAAGCAACUCUUGGCUGAUGAUGAUAUGUUUAUUUGUUUCAUGAUCGUUGCUUUAUCAUUCUUCCUUUGUCCCAAUUCUAACACUUAUCCAAGCACAAAAUAUAUGAUAGCAUUCAAAGAUUUGAGCUGUGUUGGAAAUAUUGACUGGUCCUUGUACAUUUAUGAAUGGUUGAUUGAUGCUGUUCGUAAAUUGUGCAUGGGUGUUGGGAAGUCUUUCAGACCUAUCCAUACUCUUGAUGGCUGCUCAUAUGUGCUUGCUGUACUAUAUUUGGAUUGUCUCAAUUUUGGAAUUUUUGAUGUUCCUCGAGUGACUCCAAGAAUCUCAGUAUGAAAAGGGUCUAUGAUCAAGUAUUAUUCUGAUUUAGUCAUUUAGAUGAGUUGAAUGUCAAUCAAUAUGGUAAAAGGUGUUUUCGAGAUAAUAUUGACACCCUAUAUUGUGAGAUAUUUGAUGGGGAUGAUAAUACUUCUGACACAUGGAAUAUACCCCAUCAGCUUCUGGUUUUAAAUCAAAACUUCAGUGCUUAUUUGAAAGUAUGUUGAAUAUACAGUUAAUUAAUGGAAUUUGUGGCAUAUAUGAUGUUGAUUGCACUAAGAUCCCAAGAAGACAGCAAAAACAUUCGGAGAAAUUAAUAUUUCGGUUGCUGAAAUUAUUUGAUGAGUUUAAUUCAAAUCCAACUAUUUUUGUGGUGAAGUUAUUGGUGAAGAUAUUGGCCAUGCAAAUUAUUUGAUGAGCAUAUAUUUGCUGAAGAUAUUGGUGGUUGCAACUUGAAGUUCUCUCUUGGUGACUCCAUGGCUCCUCAUCACAAAGUAUGCACUUUUGUGGUGAACUGUAUUUGCCGAAAAUUCUUUCUGGAUGAAUGACCAACUGUUUCUUUGAAGUAUUAUUUCUUUUCAUGUGUCUAUGUUGUUUUCAUGAGUGAUUCUGAUGACUAUUCAUAUGUAGAAAGGUGCUUUAACGGAGCUGCUUUUGUAUUACCUUUGCCUUUGUGUGAAAUGUUGUUUUUCCCAGUGUUAUAUGGUGAGCAUUGGUUCUUUUUUGUUGUUGAUUUGAAGAGGAAGCUGUUUCUUUUUCUGGAUUCUUAUUUCUCCAAGGAUGAACAAUAUUCAAUUUAUACAAGAAGGAAGCUUAUGUGAUUGUUGUGUGUUUCUUAUCAAAUUUAUGGAGCUAUGGCAUCCUGGAGCUAAUCUACGUGAAAACUUUUCAUCAGAAGAUAUACCAAAUAUUCGAAUUCAGAUUGUUAAUGAUCUUCUAACUAGUGUCCAUAUCAAAGCAAAUACAGAUGUUGUUACAAAAUUUGCAUAGCCAGGGUGAUCUUUCACACAUCAAGAAGUACAAUCAAAGCAACCUUCCAGUUUGCAGGAGUUAUUUUCUCAUUUUUCGUAAAGCAAAACAUGAAUUUAGCUACUAGUUUUGUUAGUGUCAUCAUGACACAUGCGACGAACCAAAAAACAUCAUGUACUUUGUUCUAGUGGCUCACUCUGUCACGAUUACAUAUACUUAGAUAUAUAAAUAUAUAGCAACUAUCUCUGUGCUUUUA
Molecule: long non-coding RNA, 2394 nt
Organism: Panicum virgatum (switchgrass)
Lineage: Eukaryota; Viridiplantae; Streptophyta; Magnoliopsida; Poales; Poaceae
Exons: 13
Source: RefSeq, a predicted model, not a curated record